AAAAAACAGCAGCACUUGUUGACUACGGUGGAAACUAGGUCCGCCUGGCAUCGCGACCCCAGCGGAGAGGCAGUAAUCAGGAUAAAGCACUACGCCAGUCGAGCGGGACACCAGUCAGUAUGUGAGCUGCUCCUGGACCAGGGGGCCCGUGCUAAUUCUCAAACUGCAUAAGGCUGCUGAGCAGGGUCACGUGGACGUGUGCGAGUUGUUGGUGAUGAACUGUCCUGCCUUGAGAAGCAUGAAGGAUAAAAGAUCACGCU
Long non-coding RNA from Astyanax mexicanus (Mexican tetra), 260 nucleotides. RefSeq lists it as uncharacterized. NCBI's taxonomy places the organism in Eukaryota, Metazoa, Chordata, Actinopteri, Characiformes, Acestrorhamphidae. The transcript has 3 exons. The record is from RefSeq and is a predicted model, not a curated record.